GACGAACGCUGGCGGCGUGCUUAACACAUGCAAGUCGAGCGGUAAGGCCCUUUCGGGGGUACGACGAGCGGCGAACGGGUGAGUAACACGUGGGUGACCUGCCCUCCAGCUCUGGGAGUAAGCCUGGGAAACCGGGGUACUAAUACCGGAUAUGACUCCAUGACGCAUGUUGUGGGGUGGAAAGACCUUGUGCGGCUGAGGAUGGGCCCGCGGCCUAUCAGCUUGUUGGUGGGGUGAUGGCCUACCAAGGCGACGACGGGUAGCCGGCCUGAGAGGGCGACCGGCCACACUGGGACUGAGACACGGCCCAGACUCCUACGGGAGGCAGCAGUGGGGAAUCUUGCGCAAUGGGCGAAAGCCUGACGCAGCGACGCCGCGUGA
This 381-nucleotide ribosomal RNA is filed under the name uncultured bacterium. RNAcentral's name for it is "bacterial SSU rRNA". It matches the Rfam family "Bacterial small subunit ribosomal RNA", at positions 28 to 404 of the family's 1533-position model. The record is from RNAcentral.